GAUGAACGCUGGCGGCGUGCCUAAUACAUGCAAGUCGAGCGAACAGACGAGGAGCUUGCUCCUCUGACGUUAGCGGCGGACGGGUGAGUAACACGUGGAUAACCUACCUAUAAGACUGGGAUAACUUCGGGAAACCGGAGCUAAUACCGGAUAAUAUAUUGAACCGCAUGGUUCAAUAGUGAAAGACGGUUUUGCUGUCACUUAUAGAUGGAUCCGCGCCGCAUUAGCUAGUUGGUAAGGUAACGGCUUACCAAGGCAACGAUGCGUAGCCGACCUGAGAGGGUGAUCGGCCACACUGGAACUGAGACACGGUCCAGACUCCUACGGGAGGCAGCAGUAGGGAAUCUUGCGCAAUGGGCGAAAGCCUGAUCGAGCAAUGCCGCGUGGGUGAAGAAGGUCUUCGGAUUGUAAAACCCUUUUAUUAGGGAAGAAAAAAAGUAGAAGUAACUAUGGACGUUUUGACGGUACCCAAAGAGAAAGCCACGGCUAACUUCGUG
Molecule: ribosomal RNA, 497 nt
Filed under: uncultured bacterium
Lineage: Bacteria
Description: partial 16S ribosomal RNA
Rfam family: Bacterial small subunit ribosomal RNA
Source: RNAcentral